This 834-nucleotide ribosomal RNA is filed under the name Xerochrysium coryli. RNAcentral's name for it is "Paraxerochrysium coryli partial large subunit ribosomal RNA". It matches the Rfam family "Eukaryotic large subunit ribosomal RNA", at positions 76 to 924 of the family's 3401-position model. Lineage: Eukaryota; Fungi; Ascomycota; Eurotiomycetes; Eurotiales; Trichocomaceae. The record is from RNAcentral.
UGCCUCAGUAACGGCGAGUGAAGCGGCAACAGCUCAAAUUUGAAAGCUGGCUCCUUCGGGGUCCGCAUUGUAAUUUGGAGAGGAUGCUUCGGGUGCGGCCCCCGUCUAAGUGCUCUGGAACGGGCCGUCGGAGAGGGUGAGAAUCCCGUCUGGGGCGGGGAGACCCGCGCCCGUGUGAAGCUCCUUCGAAGAGUCGAGUUGUUUGGGAAUGCAGCUCUAAAUGGGUGGUAAAUUUCAUCUAAAGCUAAAUACAGGCCGGAGACCGAUAGCGCACAAGUAGAGUGAUCGAAAGAUGAAAAGCACUUUGAAAAGAGAGUUAAACAGCACGUGAAAUUGUUGAAAGGGAAGCGCUUGCGAUCAGACUCGCCCGCGGUGUUCAGCCGGCAUUCGUGCCGGUGUACUUCGCCGCGGGUGGGCCAGCGUCGGUUUGGGCGGCCGGUCAAAGGCCUCCGGAAUGUAGCGCCCUCCGGGGCGUCUUAUAGCCGGAGGUGCCAUGCGGCCAGCCCGGACCGAGGAACGCGCUUCGGCACGGACGCUGGCGUAAUGGUCGCAAGCGACCCGUCUUGAAACACGGACCAAGGAGUCUAACAUCUACGCGAGUGUUUGGGUGGCAAACCCAUGCGCGCAGUGAAAGCGAACGGAGGUGGGAACCCCCCCGCGGGGUGCACCAUCGACCGAUCCUGAUGUCCUCGGAUGGAUUUGAGUAAGAGCGUAGCUGUGGGGACCCGAAAGAUGGUGAACUAUGCCUGAAUAGGGCGAAGCCAGGGGAAACUCUGGUGGAGGCUCGCAGCGGUUCUGACGUGCAAAUCGAUCGUCAAAUUUGGGUAUAGGGGG